This 497-nucleotide ribosomal RNA is filed under the name uncultured bacterium. RNAcentral describes it as "partial 16S ribosomal RNA". It matches the Rfam family "Bacterial small subunit ribosomal RNA", at positions 28 to 507 of the family's 1533-position model. The record is from RNAcentral.
GAUGAACGCUGGCGGCGUGCCUAAUACAUGCAAGUCGAGCGAACAGACGAGGAGCUUGCUCCUCUGACGUUAGCGGCGGACGGGUGAGUAACACGUGGCUAACCUACCUAUAAGACUGGGAUAACUUCGGGAAACCGGAGCUAAUACCGGAUAAUAUAUUGAACCGCAUGGUUCAAUAGUGAAAGACGGUUUUGCUGUCACUUAUAGAUGGAUCCGCGCCGCAUUAGCUAGUUGGUAAGGUAACGGCUUACCAAGGCGACGAUGCGUAGCCGACCUGAGAGGGUGAUCGGCCACACUGGAACUGAGACACGGUCCAGACUCCUACGGGAGGCAGCAGUAGGGAAUCUUCCGCAAUGGGCGAAAGCCUAACGGAGCAACGCCGCGUGAGUGAUGAAGGUCUUCGGAUCGUAAAACUCUGUUAUUAGGGAAGAACAAAUGUGUAAGUAACUAUGCACGUCUUGACGGUACCUAAUCAGAAAGCCACGGCUAAAUACGUG